This 453-nucleotide ribosomal RNA is filed under the name uncultured bacterium. RNAcentral's name for it is "bacterial SSU rRNA". It matches the Rfam family "Bacterial small subunit ribosomal RNA", at positions 157 to 643 of the family's 1533-position model. The record is from RNAcentral.
CUUGUGCUAAUACCGGAUAAGUCUUUACGGAGAAAGCUUUAUGCACCAUUGGAUGAGCCUGCACUUGAUUAGUUUGUUGGUGGGGUAAUGGCCUACCAAGACUGUGAUCAAUAGCUGAUUUGAGAGGAUGAUCAGCCACAUUGGGACUGAGACACGGCCCAAACUCCUACGGGAGGCAGCAGUGGGGAAUCUUGCACAAUGGAGGAAACUCUGAUGCAGCGAUGCCGCGUGAGUGAAGAAGGCCCUUGGGUUGUAAAGCUCUUUCGUCGGGGAAGAAAAUGACUGUACCCGAAUAAGAAGGUCCGGCUAACUUCGUGCCAGCAGCCGCGGUAAUUAGAAGGGACCUAGCGUAGUUCGGAAUUACUGGGCUUAAAGAGUUCGUAGGUGGUUGAAAAAGUUGGUGGUGAAAUCCCGGAGCUUAACUCUGGAACUGCCAUCAAAACUUUUCAGCUA